Molecule: long non-coding RNA, 726 nt
Organism: Gasterosteus aculeatus aculeatus (three-spined stickleback)
Lineage: Eukaryota; Metazoa; Chordata; Actinopteri; Perciformes; Gasterosteidae
Source: Ensembl
CACAAAUCCACCUCCUACUCCAACAGGGCUUCCACUGUUGAGGUCUAAAAAGCUGGAUUUGUAUGUCAUCCUGCUGUGUGUGUGAGUGAGCGCAGGGAGGGGAGCUGCCUCCCUGUUUCUAUAGAAACCAGUAUUGUGUGAUGGAACGCAGCGUUUGUGAUGCGUAACCAUGUGUGUGCUGUUCCAUGUUGAAGUCCGGUCCUUCCUGGUCGUUUCAGGGCUGCAGAAGGUUCACUUGAAGGCCUUGGACGGGCAGCGGUACUCCACCCUGGAGAGGCAGUGCUUGCAGAGUGGCCUGCUCUUUGAGACCCCCGCUUCCCCGCCAUCGACCACUCGCCGUUCCACCACGCCAACAGGAUGGGACGCGUGGUGUGGAAGAGGCCUCGGAGCACCGUGUCUGUCUUGCCCGUUAGAGCGUCCCCCCCCGAUGAGUUCUUCACGCCUGGUCAGCGGCCAUCAAGCGCUUCUCCUCUCCCUUCUGUGGUCCUCUGGUGCAGGCCGGGCGACCGGACGUAUGUUUCAGUGGCAGAUGAUACCGGAUGCAGGGCCUCAGGACUCAGUGAGCCGACCCCCCCCUGACAUGAUGCUCAUGGACUACAAAGUGUACAGCUUCUCCCGGAGUGGCCUGAUGAGCUGGUCUCACACUUCCAAUGCUGCUGCAGGUGCCGGCUUUGUUAUUUCUGAAGGGUGUGCUCCAGCAUCUUCACGGGGGGGACGACUUUGGAG